GGUGGGGUUGCAGAGCGGUCAAAUGCAGUAGACUGUAAAUCUACCGUCCAUGACUUCGAUGGUUCGAAUCCAUCCCCCACCACCA
RNAcentral lists this transfer RNA (85 nucleotides) under Lentisphaeria bacterium. RNAcentral describes it as "tRNA-Tyr". It matches the Rfam family "tRNA". From Rfam's summary of the family: Transfer RNA (tRNA) molecules are approximately 80 nucleotides in length. Their secondary structure includes four short double-helical elements and three loops (D, anti-codon, and T loops). The record is from RNAcentral. Lineage: Bacteria; Pseudomonadati; Lentisphaerota; Lentisphaeria.